RNAcentral lists this ribosomal RNA (496 nucleotides) under uncultured bacterium. RNAcentral describes it as "bacterial SSU rRNA". It matches the Rfam family "Bacterial small subunit ribosomal RNA", at positions 30 to 520 of the family's 1533-position model. The record is from RNAcentral.
AUUGAACGCUGGCGGAAUGCUUUACACAUGCAAGUCGAACGGCAGCACGGACUUCGGUCUGGUGGCGAGUGGCGAACGGGUGAGUAAUACAUCGGAACGUGCCCGGACGUGGGGGAUAACUACUCGAAAGAGUGGCUAAUACCGCAUACGAUCCAAGGAUGAAAGCGGGGGAUCGCAAGACCUCGCGCGUUUGGAGCGGCCGAUGGCAGAUUAGGUAGUUGGUGAGGUAAAGGCUUACCAAGCCUGCGAUCUGUAGCUGGUCUGAGAGGAUGAUCAGCCACACUGGGACUGAGACACGGCCCAGACUCCUACGGGAGGCAGCAGUGGGGAAUUUUGGACAAUGGGCGAAAGCCUGAUCCAGCCAUUCCGCGUGCAGGAUGAAGGCCCUCGGGUUGUAAACUGCUUUUGUACGGAACGAAAAGGCUCUUGCUAAUACCAGGAGUCCAUGACGGUACCGUAAGAAUAAGCACCGGCUAACUACGUGCCAGCAGCCCGG